Molecule: long non-coding RNA, 746 nt
Organism: Melanotaenia boesemani (Boeseman's rainbowfish)
Lineage: Eukaryota; Metazoa; Chordata; Actinopteri; Atheriniformes; Melanotaeniidae
Exons: 2
Source: RefSeq, a predicted model, not a curated record
UGUAAAAAAUACAGUUGGUCUUGUGAAACAGUUUGUUUUAUCUGAAUUGCUGAAGAGUAUUGUUCAGUUAUUUAAUGUGGUCACAAGAGGGCGCUUUAUGUGUGCUUAAUGACGGAGAUCCUGUUAUAUGUGCAUUGCAUGAUGGGAAGCAGAUGGGCUAACGUUCUCAUAACGAAGCUACCACGAAGUGUUACUGAACAAGACUUGUGAACGUUUAUGAAAGGAUUUGGUUUUAUUUUCCCAGAGAGAAGGAGUGUUUUGUUUUCAGUUUUAAAGAAGUGCGAACGCGACUGUAACCGGAGCAGAUAUAUUUUCGUUUUACCGAGGACUCCGAUUGGUUUUUCUUUUCCCUUGGUUCACGCCGAGUGCUGGAUCUACGAAAAGCCAACAGCAGUCAGUUAGCCGGAGAUUCCAUUCGAGACGUGGUGGAAUCGGGAGGAUGCCUAAUUCUUCAUACUCUUCAUGGAGGACCACAUCCGGAGGAGAAACCCCUGAACAGCGCGCAGUACUCAUUUACACACACACUACCCGGGUAGCAUACACAUACACUGAAUAGACUUGGACUGACUUGGAUUUGGACUGGACUUUGAAUUGGACACAUUGAACUUUGAACUUUUGAUAUCUGAACAGCUACAAGCUGUCAAGGACAAUUUCUUUCAUUUUGUUGUUGCAUUAUUGGGCUACAUGGGAGUUCUGAAAUCUGAAUGAGUCCAUUGUGAGAAUAAAUCCCUGUGUUGUUUAUCAUA